Molecule: long non-coding RNA, 968 nt
Filed under: Polistes fuscatus (common paper wasp)
Lineage: Eukaryota; Metazoa; Arthropoda; Insecta; Hymenoptera; Vespidae
Description: uncharacterized LOC122516419
Source: RNAcentral
UCAAUAGGAACUACGUGGCAAUUGAAGCUGAUUGGUUGAAAUAGUUCGGUAUAAACCAAUUACGUGUGCUAUACAAAAGCGCGCAGUGUAUUUUUUAUCGAACUCGUGUAUAAAUAUACUAUUUAAUAAAUCAAUAAUAAUUUAUAUUCGAAUGGAUUUUAAAAGAUGAAUUUAUCUAUAAAUAAUAAUUAUAAACAAAUACAUAAAAAUGUAUUUUUGUAAAAAAAAAAAAUCAGCAAGUUCAUUCGAUUAUUUCUUUUUUAAGCUUCAGCUAUUUCUUCGUUAACUCUGCUUUGGUUUUUAAAGAUAUUGAACCAAUAUUCCAUUUUCUCAAAGACAUUCUGUGUACGAUAUAGUUUUGGUCUAAGUGCCUUUUCAAUAUUCAGAGUCAAUAAAGUAGUAUCUUACAAUGUAUUACUUUAUGCUUUGCCACCUGCAUUCUCUAGCCUCGAUGGCACGUUUUUAAGAUCUUUUUAUCUAUCUUUUGUAUGCAUGUAUAUAGCAAAGUAGACAUUACCUGCACUAUCUAUUUUCUUCAUAUUUUACUGUUUUUACAAUCAUUUGUAGUACUACGAAAAUAUAACAUAGAAUAAGUAACAAUAGAGAAAGGUAAAUAUACCCACUUCAUAACGCCAUCUGGUGAGUAAAUGAUGAUAAUACUAAUUCAAAUUCGUUUACGAUUUUUCCAAUCUAAGAGAUCGUAACCAUAGACAUGAAAAUUACUUUUGAAUUAUUCUAUUGAAAGGUAUUAUAAAAGUAAUAUUGAAACAUUUAAUUAUAAACGCUUAUAAAAUUAUCUACAAAGAUAUAUUUUUUGUUUAAUCUCUUCGAUACGAUCAUUAACUUUUUUCUACUUAUUAAAAAUAAAUAUCUAGUAUAUAUCAAUUAAAUAAAUGUAUAAAAAAAUAAUCAUAGGCUUUGACCGAUUGAAUAGAAUUGAAUAAAACUUCUUAUAUCUACAAAUGAAA